RNAcentral lists this transfer RNA (67 nucleotides) under Rhodnius prolixus. RNAcentral describes it as "tRNA-Leu". Lineage: Eukaryota; Metazoa; Arthropoda; Insecta; Hemiptera; Reduviidae. The record is from RNAcentral.
CUUAAUGUGGCAGAUUAAGUGCGAUGAACUUAAGAUUCAUUCAUAAAGAGUUAUUCUUUCAUUAAGA